GGAGGCAUCGGGCGGCCCGGUACUGGCGGCGGAAGCGUGGCUCCAGCUCCGUGCCCUUGGCUUUACGCGGGCGGACCGAACAUCCCCAGGGACAGGGGGUGCCUCAUCAGCCUCUGUCGUGGCGGCCCCUCCGGGCUGGGGCCUCUCGCUAGGCCGUCUGCCGCCGCGGGGCACCGGGCUGCUCUGAGGUACCACCCGCUGGCGCAAAGAGUGACAGAGAGGAGGCGCAGGCGGGCACGGUGAAGCCCGUGACUCCUGCGAUGGCUUUAAAUAACGGUUACGGUGUUGGAGGAUCGGUAAUUAAGAUUAGUCAGCGCUUGUUCAGAACAAGUAACAUAGAGCGCGGUCUCCUCACGGUAUGUGCGCACCGCAGUGCCUCUGCAAACGGGCAGCGACGCAAAAAUCAACGUGUUUUGGCACUAGGCCGAGCGUCGCCUUUGCUAGAUGUGCUCCGGGUCUCACCUGAGUAGCGACUGCUGUUCUCCCUGGAGAGCUGAUGUGAACAAGCAGUGGCUUUGGUGUAAGGUAACCCAGCUGUCAAUCAGGGCAGCAGAACUGGGUGCUGUGAAGACUCUUUAGACCAACUGUGAAGGUGAAUAUCAACUAAAAAUCAGUUUAAAGCACAGUAAGCAAAGAACCAAGCCAAUCACGGAGAUGCAGAAACCUCUCUCUGCUCAGGUAUCGCAGCUGCCAGGUAAGCGGCUGUUUCCUGAGGCACCGAUCGCUGCCUCUCCCCAGCAAUUCCUUCAUAAGCAGACCACUGCACUUCUAAAGAAAUCAGUAUGUGGAAUUACGCUAGAACUAUCGCUACAGUAGGUAUUUCAGUGAGGAGAGCACGCAGCUGAACGCGAUACACAAGCAAACAGCACAGCUCAGGCUGCGUGUCAGCAGAGCGCAAGCAGCCUUUGCUGUGUUAUACUCAGCAAGCCUCAAUUAACAUGCUCAAUCAAAAGCUGCUAGCCCUUAUCAAGAACAGCAGAGUGCAGUAAGUUUUAGGGCAAACAUUUAUUCUAAAACCUGUUUUUUUUUUUAAUCUUAAAGCCAAAAAGUAUUUGGCAUGAUCCUCAAAAAGUUCUGUGCUCUUUCCCCUUUCCUUUUAGCACUCCCCUAAGAUAUUUUGCUUCAUUUCUUCAUGGUAUUUCUGGGAAGCUAUUUUGGCAUAGGCUUAUGCAUUUAACAUUUAAAAAAACCUGUUUUAGCUCUGGCAGCAAUUAUUUUUACAUUUAAAAAUACUAAAUGAAUUAAAAGCCCAAAGUUUGAGACAUUCAAAAUAUAUGUAUUAUAUAAUAUAAUCUUGUAUUAUAACAGUUUACCAUGUGGUAAUACAGAUCAUAAUAAGGACAGCAGAGUAAACGUGCAAAAGCAAAUUAUUUGGCAUUAUGGAUCCACUUUUAAUUAAUACUUUUAAUACAGUCAAAAUCUAAAUAAGCAUAUUGAGUUAGAUAUAAAGUGUUCAGCCAUCACAUUUCAGCCACCAUUUUAAAUGAAAUUUGUUAUGCAUCUUUACCAAGAACCAUCUACUUAGUAGAGGAUUUUAAGUGAUCAGGCCAAUGGAGUGGGAAACAAGAACAGAAGACAAAAGAGGACAUCUCAGAUACUACUACAGACAAUAAAUGUGGCUUUUUAAGUGAUGGCCCAGUAAAUCAUUUUGCACUCUGCUUGUUCUGACAACAGUCCUUUACUUGGGUAUUGUAAUUCAAAUUCCAAUUCUUUUAUUUUGGAUAAAAGAUGCAAGUCAUAAUCCAGAUAUCGUUACUGUACUCACUCUUUAAAUGUCUCUUUAACCUUACUUUAUUUCCCACCUCUUAGGGUAAUUUAACCUUUUGAAGUUUAUUCUGCUAUCUGCAUACAAAUUGCUAUUUUAAGCUCCAACACUGAGCUUUUAAAACGUUGAAGCUUUUUCAUUAAAUAAGUUUAAAUCCAAAAGAAAA
This is a long non-coding RNA of Strigops habroptila (Kakapo), 1931 nucleotides long. The record is from Ensembl. NCBI's taxonomy places the organism in Eukaryota, Metazoa, Chordata, Aves, Psittaciformes, Psittacidae.